This 398-nucleotide ribosomal RNA is filed under the name uncultured bacterium. Its description in RNAcentral is "partial 16S ribosomal RNA". It matches the Rfam family "Bacterial small subunit ribosomal RNA", at positions 360 to 776 of the family's 1533-position model. The record is from RNAcentral.
AAUAUUUCACAAUGGAGGAAACUCUGAUGCAGCGACGCCGCGUGAGUGAAGAAGGUCUUCGGAUCGUAAAACUCUGUCCUUGGAGAAGAUAAUGACGGUAGCCAAGGAGGAAGCUCCGGCUAACUACGUGCCAGCAGCCGCGGUAAUACGUAGGGGGCUCGAGUUGUCCGGAUUUACUGGGGGUAAAGGGUGAGUAGGCGGUUAUGUAUGUCAGAAGUAAAAGACGUGGGCUUAACGUACGUUAGCAUUUGAAACUGCAUAACUUGAGUGCGGGAGAGGUAAGUGGAAUUCCUAGUGUAGCGGUGAAAUGCGUAGAUAAUAGGAGGAACACCAGUGGCGAAGGCGACUUACUGGACCGUAACUGACGCUGAGUCACGAAGGCGUGGGUAGCAAACAGG